This 492-nucleotide ribosomal RNA is filed under the name uncultured bacterium. RNAcentral's name for it is "partial 16S ribosomal RNA". It matches the Rfam family "Bacterial small subunit ribosomal RNA", at positions 29 to 507 of the family's 1533-position model. The record is from RNAcentral.
AGUGAACGCUGGCGGUAGGCCUAACACAUGCAAGUCGAACGGCAGCACAGUAAGAGCUUGCUCUUACGGGUGGCGAGUGGCGGACGGGUGAGGAAUACAUCGGAAUCUACUUUUUCGUGGGGGAUAACGUAGGGAAACUUACGCUAAUACCGCAUACGACCUACGGGUGAAAGCAGGGGAUCUUCGGACCUUGCGCGAUUGAAUGAGCCGAUGACGGAUUAGCUAGUUGGCGGGGUAAAGGCCCACCAAGGCGACGAUCCGUAGCUGGUCUGAGAGGAUGAUCAGCCACACUGGAACUGAGACACGGUCCAGACUCCUACGGGAGGCAGCAGUGGGGAAUAUUGGACAAUGGGGGCAAGCCUGAUCCAGCCAUACCGCGUGGGUGAAGAAGGCCUUCGGGUUGUAAAGCCCUUUUGUUGGGAAAGAAAAGCAGCAGGUUAAUACCCCGCUGUUCUGACGGUACCCAAAGAAUAAGCACCGGCUAACUUCGUG